This 253-nucleotide ribosomal RNA is filed under the name uncultured bacterium. Its description in RNAcentral is "partial 16S ribosomal RNA". It matches the Rfam family "Bacterial small subunit ribosomal RNA", at positions 524 to 776 of the family's 1533-position model. The record is from RNAcentral.
UACAGGGGGUGCAACCGUUGCCCGGAAUCAUUGGGCGUAAAGCGCACGUAGGCGGUCUGUUAUGUCGGAUGUGAAAGCCCUUGGCUCAACUGAGGAAGUGCAUCCGAAACUGGCAGGCUAGAGUACUAAAGAGGAUCGCGGAAUUCCCGGUGUAGAGGUGAAAUUCGUAGACAUCGGGAGGAACACCGGUGGCGAAGGCGGCGAUCUGGGUAGAUACUGACGCUGAGGUGCGAAAGCGUGGGGAGCAAACAGG